RNAcentral lists this ribosomal RNA (482 nucleotides) under uncultured organism. Its description in RNAcentral is "bacterial SSU rRNA". It matches the Rfam family "Bacterial small subunit ribosomal RNA", at positions 30 to 507 of the family's 1533-position model. The record is from RNAcentral.
AUUGAACGCUGGCGGCAUGCUUUACACAUGCAAGUCGAACGGUAACAGCACUUCGGUGGCUGACGAGUGGCGAACGGGUGAGUAAUGUAUCGGAACGUGCCCAGUAGUGGGGGAUAACUACUCGAAAGAGUGGCUAAUACCGCAUGAGAUCUCUGGAUGAAAGCGGGGGACCGUAAGGCCUCGCGCUACUGGAGCGGCCGAUAUCAGAUUAGGUAGUUGGUGGGGUAAAGGCCUACCAAGCCUGCGAUCUGUAGCUGGUCUGAGAGGACGACCAGCCACACUGGGACUGAGACACGGCCCAGACUCCUACGGGAGGCAGCAGUGGGGAAUUUUGGACAAUGGGCGCAAGCCUGAUCCAGCAAUGCCGCGUGCAGGACGAAGGCCUUCGGGUUGUAAACUGCUUUUGUACGGAACGAAAAGCCUUCUUCUAAUACAGGAGGGUCAUGACGGUACCGUAAGAAUAAGCACCGGCUAACUACGUG